This 853-nucleotide long non-coding RNA is filed under the name Pan troglodytes (chimpanzee). RNAcentral describes it as "long non-coding RNA NONPTRT008488". Lineage: Eukaryota; Metazoa; Chordata; Mammalia; Primates; Hominidae. The record is from RNAcentral.
GGACGCUGGGUCUGCAGAUGCCAUCCAGGCGCACGGCGGGUAUAGUGGUUCCGCAACCUUGGGAUGUUCGGCCGAGCGCCUGCCUAACAUGGGAGCGCCUGCCUAACCCUCCUGACUGGAGGGUCAGCGGCGGGGAGUCCUGGCCUUCAAUCGGCCAUCGCCACGGCAGAAACUGGGGCCCGGGCCUUCCCCGUCCGUCCACAGGUCUCAUGGGCGCCCGGACUGGGGCUGAUGUAGUUUCCCGACCUCUGACACAUAGAAUCUGGAGAUUAAAGAGCAAAUACCUACCAGAACGGAUAACUUGAGAGAUGUGGAAAGAUCUGGAGCUCAGGACCCACUACCUCCCCGGCCCACUGCAAGCUUGAACAUUUGAUGGUGGACACCCCUCCCUGACUUUGUAUUAUGGUCCAGAUUUUGGAUGAAUCUCUAUAAUGGAGAUUGAACAGUGUCACUGGCGUGGGGGUUACCUUCCCACUAUGUCCCCCAGAAGACAUGAGGCCACAGACUGCAGUGCCCGUGGACAGAGGAGCUGUGGGGAUGGAAGUGUGAUUGCUUCAUUCAAAUGCACGCCCCGGUGCGUGUGCGUCUCUUCUGAUGCAGCGCCCCAUGGAUACCCCAUCAGCCUGAGUCUCUUAAAGGCCUUUAUACACACAUGUCUACACAUAGGGAUUUGGAUUAUCUCGGGAUCCCACAUCCUCGCUGUCCCCUGUCCCCCCGCAACAUCCCCCACCAAUACCUUUCUGAAGUUUUCUAGUCCCUCCUUUUUGUUUGUGCUCCUUAAAGCCCAGCCCCAUGCCUGACUUUGGUUCCCAGUGAGCAUUGUACAUUUGUGGAUAUUAAAUCUUUGGCAAAG